AUGUCUUCCUUUCUCUCUUCAAGGCUUCUUGCCACAACCACCACAUCCCAGUCUGGUUCCUGGGAACAGGAUCGCUCCUCUGACAUCUCACAAGGUCCUCCUCUGGGGAAAAUUGGAACCGAAGCCCCUCCCACCGCACUUGGAGACAUCUGUGUUCCUGGCUGGGAUCCCUCUGCGUGGGCUGCGGGCAGGCUGAGAUGGCCCGGGCGUGGAGCCCCGGCUCGGCGGGACAGUGGCAGGGGACCUGUCUGGUUGAGGCAGAGCUCAGCCACCCUGCAACCAGGAGUCAGAGCCAGGAAGAACAGCCGGCCUGCGGGAGCCCACCCCUCCCAGCUGCCUCUGGAGCCCUCAGCGUCUCCAGGGUCACCUGCCUGGGGCUCCCCCAAUCUCCCAGCCUCUUGGAGGGUCCUAAACCUCAGGCCAGAGACCGGAGUGAGGGAGGUGACAGAGUGUCUGUGUCCCCGCUCAAGGCCACGCAGCGAUCAGAGCCAGAUCUAAGAUUAGAUUGGGUAGGUUUCUGGCCUCCAGAUACACAGCGAAGCCCCAAACUCAUGCUGUGUCUUGGCAAAGCUCCUUCACGUUCCUCUAACUCAGACCCGCCCUAGUUUGUCUCUGGAAAUAUUGUAGCUGUCAUAAUCAUUGUUCUAAUAAAAUACUCAUCUGACGAUCUAUUAGUAAGGCAUAUUGUUGACAGGAAAUGUGCAUUUGCCAUAUUUCCCAUUAUAUUGUCUAUUUCCUGCCUCAUUUUUCUUGGGAGGGCAGGAGUCACUGGAGAUAAUAGCAUAUUGACAGAGAAAGCAAGGGAAAGAGAUGGUUGAAAGUGGGAGAGCUUAGCUCUGUCCGCCUGCAGAGGUUUCCAGCAGGAAAUCCACACUCAUUUCCUGUCCUCUUGCUAAAAUGGCAUCUGCCCCUUCCUACUCCUUCUCCCAUUAAACAAAUUGUCUCCUGGCCCUGAGAGGCUGACUCCCUGGUCAUAGGAUGGAGGCCCGGCCGGGUGUUUCUGGGGGCUGCAGUGGCAGGGAAAGGGGGGAGAGCUUCUGUAAGAAUCCAGAAGAGACUAUGAAAUGAGCUGUUUCCCUUGUACCACAAUCAACGAGACCUAAUGGAGGCUGGUGGAAUGGGAAGGUAGAAAGAACCCUGUUUUCUAGAAGCUUCUUGCCCACAAUCUGCUGUCUCGAUAUCAAAUGGCAAAUUGUGCAUCACCAGGAAAAAAACAACACUUACUGGUUGUGCAAAACGCAGUGGUGUGAGGGGAAAAUAUUGGUCAGUGGCCCCUUUCAGAGCGCCCACGGGGUGGGUGGGAACGGUUCCGCGGGGUGAUUGAUGGUCCCUCGGCAGCCCCGGCCUGCACUUGGGAAGCUCUGGUUUUGCAGAUCCCCGGCCCUGUGGGUUGUGGGUCCCCGGGAGGGUG
Molecule: long non-coding RNA, 1411 nt
Filed under: Canis lupus familiaris (dog)
Lineage: Eukaryota; Metazoa; Chordata; Mammalia; Carnivora; Canidae
Description: lncRNA (ENSCAFG00030026320.1)
Source: RNAcentral